RNAcentral lists this ribosomal RNA (253 nucleotides) under uncultured bacterium. RNAcentral describes it as "partial 16S ribosomal RNA". It matches the Rfam family "Bacterial small subunit ribosomal RNA", at positions 524 to 776 of the family's 1533-position model. The record is from RNAcentral.
UACAGAGGGGGCAAGCGUUGUCCGGACUUACUGGGUGUAAAGCGCAUGCAGGUGGCUGUGCAAGUAUGCUGUGAAAGCCCCGUGCUUAACACGGGGAGGCCAGUAUAGACUGCACGGCUCGAGGACUGCAAAGGGUAGGGGAAUUGCUGGUGUAGUGGUGAAAUGCGUAGAGAUCAGCAGGAACACCAAGGACGAAGGUACCUACCUGGGCAGUAUCUGACACUCAAGUGCGACAGCGUGGGGAGCGAACCGG